RNAcentral lists this ribosomal RNA (421 nucleotides) under Staphylococcus aureus. RNAcentral's name for it is "partial 23S ribosomal RNA". It matches the Rfam family "Bacterial large subunit ribosomal RNA", at positions 822 to 1246 of the family's 2925-position model. Lineage: Bacteria; Bacillati; Bacillota; Bacilli; Caryophanales; Staphylococcaceae. The record is from RNAcentral.
AGAAAUUCCAAUCGAACCUGGAGAUAGCUGGUUCUCUCCGAAAUAGCUUUAGGGCUAGCCUCAAGUGAUGAUUAUUGGAGGUAGAGCACUGUUUGGACGAGGGGCCCCUCUCGGGUUACCGAAUUCAGACAAACUCCGAAUGCCAAUUAAUUUAACUUGGGAGUCAGAACAUGGGUGAUAAGGUCCGUGUUCGAAAGGGAAACAGCCCAGACCACCAGCUAAGGUCCCAAAAUAUAUGUUAAGUGGAAAAGGAUGUGGCGUUGCCCAGACAACUAGGAUGUUGGCUUAGAAGCAGCCAUCAUUUAAAGAGUGCGUAAUAGCUCACUAGUCGAGUGACACUGCGCCGAAAAUGUACCGGGGCUAAACAUAUUACCGAAGCUGUGGAUUGUCCUUUGGACAAUGGUAGGAGAGCGUUCUAAGG